This 982-nucleotide ribosomal RNA is filed under the name Mortierella bainieri. Its description in RNAcentral is "eukaryotic LSU rRNA". It matches the Rfam family "Eukaryotic large subunit ribosomal RNA", at positions 92 to 933 of the family's 3401-position model. The record is from RNAcentral. Lineage: Eukaryota; Fungi; Mortierellomycota; Mortierellomycetes; Mortierellales; Mortierellaceae.
AGUGAAGCGGGAUGAGCUCAAAUUUAAAAUCUGGCUGGUUUACUAGUCCGAAUUGUAGUUUAAAGAAGCGUUUUCGGUGGCAGCCUGGGUAUAAAUCCUUUGGAAUAGGGUAUCAUAGAGGGUGAGAAUCCCGUCUUUGACUCAGUGAAUGCUACUAUGUGAUACGUUUUCAAAGAGUCGAGUUGUUUGGGAAUGCAGCUCAAAAUGGGUGGUAAAUUUCAUCUAAAGCUAAAUAUUGGCGAGAGACCGAUAGCGAACAAGUACCGUGAGGGAAAGAUGAAAAGAACUUUGAAAAGAGAGUUAAACAGUACGUGAAAUUGUUGAAAGGGAAACGUUUGACACCAGUCAUGCGGGUGGAAAAUCAGUCUUUUAGAGUAGGGAGUGGUGGGGGGUUCGGACCGCAAGGCUGGCCUUUAUCUCAUCUCUGCACUAAUGGAUGCACUUUUUCAUUUGCAGGUCAACAUCAGUUUCUUCUGCUGGACAAAACUCCGAGAGAAGGUAGCAGCUUUGGCUGUGUUAUAGCUCUGGAGCGAUACAGUGGAGGGGACUGAGGUUUUCGCAGUGUGUGCUCUCGGGCAAGGUUGAUUAGGUGCUAUGUGAUCGUUCGGUGUACAAUGCAUGCAUUUUGCGCUGUGUCUUUUGCAUACUCGCCUGACUCGACUCUUCCACGCUUAGGAUGUUGACUUAAUGGUUUUAAACGACCCGUCUUGAAACACGGACCAAGGAGUCUAACAUAUAUGCAAGUGUUUGGGUGGCAAACCCAUACGCGUAAUGAAAGUGAACGUAGGUGCGAUCCGCAAGGUGCAGCAUCGACCGAUCUUGAUAUUUUUGGAUAGAUUUGAGUAAGAGCAUAUAUGCUGGGACCCGAAAGAUGGUGAACUAUGCCUGAAUAGGGUGAAGCCAGAGGAAACUCUGGUGGAGGCUCGUAGCGAUUCUGACGUGCAAAUCGAUCGUCAAAUUUGGGUAUAGGGGCGAAAGACUA